Molecule: long non-coding RNA, 320 nt
Filed under: Capra hircus (goat)
Lineage: Eukaryota; Metazoa; Chordata; Mammalia; Artiodactyla; Bovidae
Description: lncRNA (ENSCHIG00010006664.1)
Source: RNAcentral
AGAGCCCACAAAAGCUACAGCAGCACCAGGGGUGAUGAAGCAGCAACAGACCCAGGUCUGCAAGACAGNNNNNNNAAGAACUCCUCCCAUCACUCAUGGGAGAAAAUGAAGCUCUCUACUGGCCUCUAUCAGAGAAGCUAAAAAUUUCCCUCUUUUCUGCAAGUGUCCCAAACCCCAUGACUCUUAUUUCCAGGUAGAGAGACUGAUUUGAAGAACUACACGUAGCCACAAUACCUGUAAGUUUCACACUGCUAAAUUUUUUUUCUAAGCCUGAAAUCAUUAAUAUCUCUGUAAACAAUGAUGGGAAGUGGCUUUGUCUU